GUAGGUGAACCUGCGGAAGGAUCAUUACACAAUAUUAUCGGGGGGCCGGACCCAAAGUGCGCGUUUUACGUGUGCCUUGACCUGCCCUGUCUGAAUAUUCUACCCAUGUCUUUUGCGUACUAUUCGUUUCCUCGGUGGGCUUGCCUGCCGAUUGGACAACAUAAAACCUUUUGUAAUUGCAGUCAGCGUCAGAAAUAACUUAAUAGUUACAACUUUCAACAACGGAUCUCUUGGUUCUG
This 239-nucleotide unclassified non-coding RNA is filed under the name rhizosphere metagenome. Its description in RNAcentral is "partial ribosomal RNA internal transcribed spacer region". The record is from RNAcentral.